RNAcentral lists this ribosomal RNA (226 nucleotides) under uncultured bacterium. RNAcentral describes it as "partial 16S ribosomal RNA". It matches the Rfam family "Bacterial small subunit ribosomal RNA", at positions 30 to 263 of the family's 1533-position model. The record is from RNAcentral.
UUGAACGCUGGCGGCAUGCCUUACACAUGCAAGUCGAACGGUAGAGGGGCAACCCUUGAGAGUGGCGAACGGGUGAGUAAUAUAUCGGAACGUGCCCAGUCGUGGGGGAUAACGCAGCGAAAGCUGCGCUAAUACCGCAUACGAUCUAAGGAUGAAAGCGGGGGAUCGCAAGACCUCGCGCGAUUGGAGCGGCCGAUAUCAGAUUAGGUAGUUGGUGGGGUAAAAG